Molecule: ribosomal RNA, 253 nt
Filed under: uncultured bacterium
Lineage: Bacteria
Description: partial 16S ribosomal RNA
Rfam family: Bacterial small subunit ribosomal RNA
Source: RNAcentral
UACGAACCGUGCAAACGUUGUUCGGAAUCACUGGGCUUAAAGGGCGCGUAGGCGGGUUGCCAAGUCUGUGGUGAAAGCCCCCGGCUUAACCGGGGAAGUGCCGUGGAUACUGGCGAUCUCGAGGAGGGUAGGGGCAUCUGGAACGUUGGGUGGAGCGGUGAAAUGCGUUGAUAUCCAACGGAACUCCGGUGGCGAAGGCGAGGUGCUGGACCCUUUCUGACGCUGAGGCGCGAAAGCUAGGGGAGCAAACAGG